RNAcentral lists this ribosomal RNA (314 nucleotides) under uncultured eukaryote. Its description in RNAcentral is "partial 18S ribosomal RNA". It matches the Rfam family "Eukaryotic small subunit ribosomal RNA", at positions 1470 to 1796 of the family's 1831-position model. The record is from RNAcentral.
CCCCUAGAUGUUCUGGGCCGCACGCGCGCUACACUGAACAGUUCAACAAGUCUUAACCUUGGCCGAUAGGUCUGGGUAAUCUUUGAACGCUGUUCGUGAUUGGGAUAGACCUUUGCAAUUAUGGGUCUUCAACGAGGAAUUCCUAGUAAAUGCGAGUCAUCAUCUCGCGUUGAUUACGUCCCUGCCCUUUGUACACACCGCCCGUCGCACCUACCGAUUGAAUGGUCCGGUGAAGCCUCGGGAUUGCGAAUGCUUCGUGCGGACGCGAGAACUUGGCUAAACCUUACCAUUUAGAGGAAGGUGAAGUCGUAACA